Molecule: long non-coding RNA, 255 nt
Filed under: Amborella trichopoda
Lineage: Eukaryota; Viridiplantae; Streptophyta; Magnoliopsida; Amborellales; Amborellaceae
Description: long non-coding RNA (ATRI_LNC000277)
Source: RNAcentral
CAAAGUGCAUGGUUACAUCCGGGCGGGUUCGCCUGAUUGCAAACCCUAAACCCCUUCUCUUUGAAAAGAGUUACCCAACUGGGGGUGGUUUGUCUAGUGUUUUCCCCUCUCUAAUAUCAAAUGAAAACACUAAUGCUUUGUUUCCUUGUAGUUUGGUCGCUCAACGAGAGGGUUCGAAGGGGGUAAGGUGCGCUACACCCAGAUUUGGGGUUCCAACACUAAGCCGAUGGUUCCUCACUCUCUCUAAUCUCCCCA